Molecule: ribosomal RNA, 253 nt
Filed under: uncultured bacterium
Lineage: Bacteria
Description: partial 16S ribosomal RNA
Rfam family: Bacterial small subunit ribosomal RNA
Source: RNAcentral
UACGUAGGGGGCAAGCGUUGUUCGGAUUCAUUGGGCGUAAAGGGCGCGUAGGCGGCACUGUUAGUCAGGCGUGAAAUUCCUGGGCUCAACCUGGGGACUGCGCUUGAUACGGCAGAGCUUGAGGAUGGAAGAGGGUCGCGGAAUUCCCAGUGUAGAGGUGAAAUUCGUAGAUAUUGGGAAGAACACCGGUGGCGAAGGCGGCGACCUGGUCCAUUACUGACGCUGAGGCGCGACAGCGUGGGGAGCAAACAGG